This 200-nucleotide unclassified non-coding RNA is filed under the name soil metagenome. RNAcentral describes it as "partial contains internal transcribed spacer 2 and large subunit ribosomal RNA". The record is from RNAcentral.
GUUUGGAUGUGGGGGUUUGCUGGCCUCUUAAAAGGGUUCAGCUCUCCUGAAAUGCAUUAGCAGAACAAACCUUGUGUUCAUUGGUGUGAUAACUAUCUACGCUAUCGAAUGUCGAGGGGGCAGUUCAGCUUUCUAACGGUCUUUGGACAACUCAUCAUUAAUGUGACCUCAAAUCAGGUAGGACUACCCGCUGAACUUAA